GAGAAUUCGGCUGGGAUUUAGAAUAUCAUCCCCGGAUUUCGGGGAUAAAAUGGGUGUCACUGGAAAGGUGGCGUUCUCCAGAUCACGAAAAUAUAUACAUAUAGUUGCCGCUGACUUAUAGUUUUAAAGAUAUUUGCAUUUAAAGUUGAAAAAUUGACAACUUUUACAUUGAUAAUUUGUGUAUUGUGAGUAACUUUUUCACUUAUAUUGUGCACUUUUCACUUACUAACACUUCACUAUAACGUUUCGGUAUAUUCAUUUUUUUAAUAUUUGUUGUAAAUAAAGCUUUAUUUUAAUUAUUUUAUUUUAGUUACAAUUCUCUGCAUUUGCACAAUAAGAAAAGGGUUGCCAUGGUUAUUUUUUUUUUCGCGCCGCGCUUCAAAACGUCAGCGGCAACUAAAUGUAUAUAUUUUCGUGAUCUGGAGAACGCCACCUUUCCAGUGACACCCAUUUUAUCCCCGAAAUCCGGGGAUGCUAAUCUAAAUCCCAGCCUAUUUUAGCACUAAUUCAAAAUAAAUUUUUAGAAAUGAAUUAGUGUAGUGUUAGAAGUGCAAGUUAAUAAAUAAGUGUAAAAUUCAUUAUAAAUCGGAGAAACACGACUUUUAAAUAAUUGAAUUUUUGAACUUUAAAUGCAAAUAUCUCAAAAACCACAGUGCAACUACAUAUAUACGUAUUCUUUGUUGGUCGAGAGAAGACUUUACCUCUCAAUUGCCUACGCAGUCGGAAGUAGCACCUGUUGGCAAAAGUUAUUCGGGCUGACGUUGUUGCUGUUAAUUGUAAUUCCAAGAUAGACGAAAUUAUAUACGACUUCACAGCUGCGACUUUUAACAUUUUCGUAGAAGUCAAAUCGCGAGUCGGAUGAUGCUAUUCUUAGAUUUACUCCUAGUCUUAUAUGUAUGUAUAAUAUAAUCACUAAUCUGGACUUUGUACUUGCUUAUUUAUGCUUAUAAUUAAAAGUCGAAAAACCCGA
Long non-coding RNA from Bactrocera neohumeralis, 970 nucleotides. RefSeq lists it as uncharacterized. Lineage: Eukaryota; Metazoa; Arthropoda; Insecta; Diptera; Tephritidae. The transcript is spliced from 2 exons. The record is from RefSeq and is a predicted model, not a curated record.